This 871-nucleotide ribosomal RNA is filed under the name uncultured bacterium. RNAcentral describes it as "bacterial SSU rRNA". It matches the Rfam family "Bacterial small subunit ribosomal RNA", at positions 51 to 916 of the family's 1533-position model. The record is from RNAcentral.
AUACAUGCAAGUCGAGGGGCAGCAGGUCUGUAGCAAUACAGAUGCUGGCGACCGGCAAACGGGUGCGGAACACGUACAGAACCUUCCUUCGAGCGGGGAAUAGCCCAGAGAAAUUUGGAUUAAUACCCCAUAGUAUACUGAAGAGGCAUCUCUUUAGUAUUAAAGAUUUAUCACUUGAAGAUGGCUGUGCGGCUGAUUAGGUAGUUGGCGGGGUAAAGGCCCACCAAGCCUGCGAUCAGUAACUGGUGUGAGAGCACGACCAGUCACACGGGCACUGAGACACGGGCCCGACUCCUACGGGAGGCAGCAGUAAGGAAUAUUGGUCAAUGGACGAAAGUCUGAACCAGCCAUGCCGCGUGAAGGAUGAAGGUCCUCUGGAUUGUAAACUUCUUUUAUAUGGGACGAAAAAAGGGUUUUCUAACUCAACUGACGGUACCAUAUGAAUAAGCACCGGCUAACUCCGUGCCAGCAGCCGCGGUAAUACGGAGGGUGCAAGCGUUAUCCGGAUUCACUGGGUUUAAAGGGUGCGUAGGUGGGUUGGUAAGUCAGUGGUGAAAUCCCCGAGCUUAACUCGGGAACUGCCAUUGAUACUAUCAGUCUUGAAUACCGUGGAGGUCAGCAGAAUAUGUCAUGUAGCGGUGAAAUGCUUAGAUAUGACAUAGAAUACCAAUUGCGAAGGCAGCUGGCUACCCGAAUAUUGACACUGAGGCACGAAAGCGUGGGGAUCAAACAGGAUUAGAUACCCUGGUAGUCCACGCCCUAAACUAUGGAUACUCGACAUACGCGAUACACUGUGUGUGUCUGAGCGAAAGCAUUAAGUAUCCCACCUGGGAAGUACGACCGCAAGGUUGAAACUCAAAGGAAUUGGCGG